This 557-nucleotide long non-coding RNA is filed under the name Homo sapiens (human). RNAcentral describes it as "HSALNT0183681". Lineage: Eukaryota; Metazoa; Chordata; Mammalia; Primates; Hominidae. The record is from RNAcentral.
CCAAGAGUUUCCCCCAAACAGGAUAAUCUCACACCUAUAAUUUCUCUGAUGGGUGUUGUUAACUGUGACUCCAUUCAUCAUCUUUUCUGUCCCUGCUGUAUAAAUCAGCUCUCCUGGCCUUGGCUUGUAUGUGUUCUAUUUUCGCUAUCUCCCCAUAAAAUUGUUACUUUUGGAUGCUGAAAGGGGAAGGACAACUUUCUUGUUUAAAAUCAUCAUCACCAUUUGUGACAGAAAAAUCAUUCUCUAAAAGAUACUUAUAUCCUAGUCACUUGAGUCUGUGAUCCUUACACUCUAUAAGCUAAAAGGGGGAUGUGUGAUGGGGGAAGAGUUUACAGAUGUGAUUAAGGAUUUUUAGAUGAGGAGAUUAUGCUGUAUUAGCCAGGCAGGCCCUAACUGUAAUCAGGUCUAUCCUUAUAAGAGAGAGACAGAGGAAAUCUGACACAGAGAGAAAGCUAUGGGGAGAUGAAGCAGAGAGGAAUUUGAAAAUUUUCCCUUAAGAUUAAAGUGAUGUGGCUAUAAGCCAAUGAAUACUGGCAGCACUAAAAGCUAGAAGAGGC